This 427-nucleotide ribosomal RNA is filed under the name uncultured bacterium. RNAcentral describes it as "partial 16S ribosomal RNA". It matches the Rfam family "Bacterial small subunit ribosomal RNA", at positions 355 to 774 of the family's 1533-position model. The record is from RNAcentral.
UGGGGAAUAUUGCACAAUGGGCGCAAGCCUGAUGCAGCCAUGCCGCGUGUAUGAAGAAGGCCUUCGGGUUGUAAAGUACUUUCAGCGGGGAGGAAGGUGUUGAGGCUAAUAACCUCAGCAAUUGACGUUACCCGCAGAAGAAGCACCGGCUAACUCCGUGCCAGCAGCCGCGGUAAUACGGAGGGUGCAAGCGUUAAUCGGAAUUACUGGGCGUAAAGCGCACGCAGGCGGUCUGUCAAGUCGGAUGUGAAAUCCCCGGGCUCAACCUGGGAACUGCAUUCGAAACUGGCAGGCUAGAGUCAUGUAGAGGGGGGUAGAAUUCCAGGUGUAGCGGUGAAAUGCGUAGAGAUCUGGAGGAAUACCGGUGGCGAAGGCGGCCCCCUGGACAAAGACUGACGCUCAGGUGCGAAAGCGUGGGGAGCAAACA